AAUUAAUGGGAAACCAUUUCGUGUCUUUCGUUCUUCAGUUGCUGACGCUCGUUUAAAACGCGGUUACAAACAACAGCAGAAGUACUAGUGAUUUCAUCAGUAGCAGCAGCAACAGUAGCAAUAGUAGUAGUAGUAGCAGUAGCAACAGUAGCAAUAGUAGUAGUAUCAGUAGCAAGCAGCACAACCAACAGCAUCAUCAUCAUCAGCAGCAGCAGCAGUAGCAGCAACAACAGCAGACGCAGACUCGUCACGCGUCACGCAUUGCAAUCGGUAGGACCAACGUUACAGGACAUCGUUAGAGAACUCAUCAUGGGAGGAAAAAAAGAAGCUCACGGUGACAAGUUGCUGGUCAUUGUCGAAAAAUCCCUAAGGCCCGAAAUCGCAGAAUACCUACAGAAACAUCGAGGCACGCUUUCUCUCUACGUUCAGAGUCUCUACGGUGAUAGCAAUAAGAACAUUAAACAGCUUGAAAUGGGAGAAUUAGAGCAGUUCAUCCGCGUGAAUACAGUCGUCGGCAUAUUCACAUAUGAGGAUGGACCCGCCAUUAUUGCAUCCAUUCUUACGGAAAAGUUUCCCCACCUUUAUGGUCCAUCAUUCAUCUCAGCGUUUCUCUGCUUUAACAAGUAUUACACCCAUCAGCUAGUCGAUCCAGACCCGCUUCCUUUCAAGUUUGUUGAUCUGCGUGCAUGCGCCGAUAGGAGCGAUGCGGCAAUGUCGGAGAUUCUGAACAUCACAGGUGUUCCUGCCUUCAUCAAGCUAACGACAUCGACGGAAAGCAUGGACGUGUACCUCGCAUAUAAUGAGGAGGAACUGAGAAAUGUCAUUGAGACAUUAAGCGAGUUAACAACUGAGGCUACAGAGUUUCUGGAUCGUCUACAGGAACAUCUCAAACCGGAGCAAUUCCCACCACACUACUCACGCGGUGCCAUUGCGAUGAAGUACAUGAAGGAUGCAUCCAUCAUUAACGUACAUGGUUACGUGUGCAAGGGUCAAAUCCACCACUGGGUCAUCGGUGAUAAAAAGCAUUGGCCAAAGAAGCCGGAGUUGAUGCAUAUGAUAGCGUUCCCGAGCGAUCAUAGCCCCACUACACUCGGUAAAGCUUGGAAUAAAUACGACCAGACCGCAGAAACUCUCAUUAAAUAUGGUUACGAUGAUCAGUUUCUCGAGGUCGAGAUGUUUGUGACGGAGCAGGGUGAUGUACACUUGAUGGAGAUAAAUGGCAGAAGCGUCAUUGGCCUGCGUAGAUCAUCACAUGUCCUGAACAACGGAGACAUGAUAACAGCAGUAGUAGACAUUGCCACGGGCGUAUGCCCUAUACCACCAACCUAUAAGUGGCGGUCACGUACGUACAAACAACAUCUGAACAUCGUCUGAAUCCAUGGUGUAUAACCGUAAUGGCGCAGUGGCCUCAUCACUAGAACAUCCGUCUACACCUGCAUUCCAGGUGAACACAGUCAACAUAGUGAACAGCGGAAAACGAACUGGCAUAAUAAAAUUGUCUAUACUGGAGUCUGGGAGGCUAGGCGACCUGAUUGAUGUGGAAUUCUGCAAUUCUCUAGCUGCCAUGGACCUGUGUGACCCCGUGGACAAGGACAUGUAUGUAGAUUGCUUGCGUUAUACCCGUGGGGGAUAUAUUGUCAAUAGCAUACGUGUGGAUGGCGACACAACUGAAGACAUAUUAGCCAAAGCGAAACAUAUUUUAAGUAACGUUUAUAAAGAUCCUGAAUAUUUAAAAAAAUUUGAGAGAUGAAACAGAUAAAAGUAUUUCAGACUUUUUACACGUGGGCGAGUUACAAGCACCUAUAUACUGAAGACCCACGAGGUGAAUUGUACAUUGUACUCGUUAAAUAAAUAAGGAAAUAAAUAAAUAAAUGAAAGUUACAUGUAUAUAUAUCAAGAGC
Molecule: unclassified non-coding RNA, 1901 nt
Filed under: Priapulus caudatus
Lineage: Eukaryota; Metazoa; Priapulida; Priapulimorpha; Priapulimorphida; Priapulidae
Description: uncharacterized LOC106808006, transcript variant X4
Source: RNAcentral